RNAcentral lists this long non-coding RNA (344 nucleotides) under Apis dorsata (giant honeybee). RNAcentral describes it as "uncharacterized LOC116186106, transcript variant X1". The record is from RNAcentral. Lineage: Eukaryota; Metazoa; Arthropoda; Insecta; Hymenoptera; Apidae.
CCAAUGAUGGAAUAUUGAAAAUCUUCAUCAAGCAGAGCAGUUUGUGCUUGAUUAAAAUUUAUGGAGGCUAUUGUAAAUAAUAAGAAUCAACCCUGGACCGCUGAUAUUAUCUAGGUAAAAUUGGAUAUUCAAUGUUAUAUUGCCGUGAUUCUAUGAUGUUUUGAAAAUCUGUGGCUACAGUAGUAAUUGAACGUUGACCGAGUAUUCGCACCGAAUAUUUCUCUGGUCUGUCAGUUUGUAAGGAGAGGUUUAUUUGCAGCACACAAGGACCACGGACGACAGCGGCGGCUCGAGGACGAUGGGGGUGGAGGAAAAAAGGCCGGUAACGAGGCGCGACAACCGUA